This 468-nucleotide ribosomal RNA is filed under the name uncultured bacterium. RNAcentral's name for it is "partial 16S ribosomal RNA". It matches the Rfam family "Bacterial small subunit ribosomal RNA", at positions 28 to 507 of the family's 1533-position model. The record is from RNAcentral.
GACGAACGCUGGCGGCGUGCUUAACACAUGCAAGUCGAACGGAAAGGCCCUGCUUUUGUGGGGUGCUCGAGUGGCGAACGGGUGAGUAACACGUGAGUAACCUGCCCUUGACUUUGGGAUAACUUCAGGAAACUGGGGCUAAUACCGGAUAGGAGCUCCUGCUGCAUGGUGGGGGUUGGAAAGUUUCGGCGGUUGGGGAUGGACUCGCGGCUUAUCAGCUUGUUGGUGGGGUAGUGGCUUACCAAGGCUUUGACGGGUAGCCGGCCUGAGAGGGUGACCGGCCACAUUGGGACUGAGAUACGGCCCAGACUCCUACGGGGGGCAGCAGUGGGGAAUAUUGCACAAUGGGCGGAAGCCUGAUGCAGCAACGCCGCGUGCGGGAUGACGGCCUUCGGGUUAUAAACCGCUUUCGCCUGUGACGAAGCGUGAGUGACGGUAAUGGGUAAAGAAGCACCGGCUAACUACGUG